CAGUCGAGAACAAUCAACCCUAGAAAGGGCCCGCACAUCCAUAAUGGUGGAAGAUCUAGACUUAAUAUUUUCUUAGGGAGAUUUGAUUUAGGUCUCAUUAAACUUGACUUGACAUAGUCAUAACAAUUAUGACUAACCUAGUGGCAUGGAUUAUCUUGAAUUGUUAGCCACCUCUAAUCAGAACUAAGUCGACACAUAUGGCC
Molecule: long non-coding RNA, 203 nt
Filed under: Elaeis guineensis (African oil palm)
Lineage: Eukaryota; Viridiplantae; Streptophyta; Magnoliopsida; Arecales; Arecaceae
Description: long non-coding RNA (EGUI_LNC055444)
Source: RNAcentral